GGAAGGUUGGUCGUGGACGGAGCGCUCGCCAACCCGGUCAGGUCCGGAAGGAAGCAGCCGUAACGGGGUCUGUUUCGGGUCGCGCGCCAGCCUUCCGCC
RNAcentral lists this signal recognition particle RNA (99 nucleotides) under Geminicoccaceae bacterium. RNAcentral's name for it is "signal recognition particle sRNA small type". It matches the Rfam family "Bacterial small signal recognition particle RNA". From Rfam's summary of the family: The signal recognition particle (SRP) is a universally conserved ribonucleoprotein involved in the co-translational targeting of proteins to membranes. Archaeal SRP consists of a 7S RNA and homologues of the eukaryotic SRP19 and SRP54 proteins. In most bacteria, the SRP consists of a 4.5S RNA and the Ffh protein (a homologue of the eukaryotic SRP54 protein). Lineage: Bacteria; Pseudomonadati; Pseudomonadota; Alphaproteobacteria; Geminicoccales; Geminicoccaceae. The record is from RNAcentral.